Molecule: ribosomal RNA, 468 nt
Filed under: uncultured bacterium
Lineage: Bacteria
Description: partial 16S ribosomal RNA
Rfam family: Bacterial small subunit ribosomal RNA
Source: RNAcentral
GACGAACGCUGGCGGCGUGCUUAACACAUGCAAGUCGAACGGAAAGGCCCUGCUUUUGUGGGGUGCUCGAGUGGCGAACGGGUGAGUAACACGUGAGUAACCUGCCCUUGACUUUGGGAUAACUUCAGGAAACUGGGGCUAAUACCGGAUAGGAGCUCCUGCUGCAUGGUGGGGGUUGGAAAGUUUCGGCGGUUGGGGAUGGACUCGCGGCUUAUCAGCUUGUUGGUGGGGUAGUGGCUUACCAAGGCUUUGACGGGUAGCCGGCCUGAGAGGGUGACCGGCCACAUUGGGACUGAGAUACGGCCCAGACUCCUGCGGGAGGCAGCAGUGGGGAAUAUUGCACAAUGGGCGGAAGCCUGAUGCAGCAACGCCGCGUGCGGGAUGACGGCCUUCGGGUUGUAAACCGCUUUCGCCUGCGACGAAGCGUGAGUGACGGUAAUGGGUAAAGAAGCACCGGCUAACUACGUG